CUUUAUUGGAGAGUUUGAUCCUGGCUCAGGAUGAACGCUGGCGGCGUGCCUAAUACAUGCAAGUCGAGCGAAUGGAUUGAGAGCUUGCUCUCAAGAAGUUAGCGGCGGACGGGUGAGUAACACGUGGGUAACCUAC
Molecule: ribosomal RNA, 136 nt
Filed under: Bacillus sp. bc15
Lineage: Bacteria; Bacillati; Bacillota; Bacilli; Caryophanales; Bacillaceae
Description: 16S rRNA. Bacterial SSU
Rfam family: Bacterial small subunit ribosomal RNA
Source: RNAcentral